This 290-nucleotide long non-coding RNA is filed under the name Ananas comosus (pineapple). Its description in RNAcentral is "long non-coding RNA (ACOM_LNC029387)". The record is from RNAcentral. Lineage: Eukaryota; Viridiplantae; Streptophyta; Magnoliopsida; Poales; Bromeliaceae.
UAUAUCAUCUUUUGUAUUCGAUGAUUUGAGAUGUUAAAGAAAAGAAUGUAAUGUGUUAUUAUGAGAAAAUGUGAUGUAAAAAGAAAUGAUGAAAAGCAAUGUAAAGAAUCAUGAAUGUAAAUGGUUUAAAGUAAAUCAUUCUACGUGUAUGUUGUUAGUUUCCUUUCUUUCACUCAUGGCUAUUGCUUACCCUUGUGUAAGCCAUUGUGUAUGUUUCCGCUAGUGCUUUUCUUAACUUGAAAUUGUACAGGUGAUGAGCCUUGGACGGACAGGAAAAACUCUGUCCGUUU